Molecule: ribosomal RNA, 491 nt
Filed under: uncultured bacterium
Lineage: Bacteria
Description: partial 16S ribosomal RNA
Rfam family: Bacterial small subunit ribosomal RNA
Source: RNAcentral
AUUGAACGCUGGCGGCAUGCUUUACACAUGCAAGUCGAACGGUAACAGGCCUUCGGGUGCUGACGAGUGGCGAACGGGUGAGUAAUGCAUCGGAACGUACCCAGAGGUGGGGAUAACGGAACGAAAGCUUUGCUAAUUACGCAUGGUAUCUGAGGGUGGAAGCGGGGGACCGGGCCACCAUUUUUUGCCUCGCCCCUUUUGAGCGGCCGAUGUCGGAUUAGCUAGUUGGUGGGGUAAAGGCCUACCAAGGCGACGAUCCGUAGCUGGUCUGAGAGGACGACCAGCCACACUGGGACUGAGACACGGCCCAGACUCCUACGGGAGGCAGCAGUGGGGAAUUUUGGACAAUGGGCGCAAGCCUGAUCCAGCAAUGCCGCGUGCGGGAAGAAGGCCUUCGGGUUGUAAACCGCUUUUGGCAGGAACGAAACGGUGUCCGCUAAUACCGGGCGCUAAUGACGGUACCUGCAGAAUAAGCACCGGCUAACUACGUG